RNAcentral lists this ribosomal RNA (219 nucleotides) under uncultured bacterium. RNAcentral's name for it is "partial 16S ribosomal RNA". It matches the Rfam family "Bacterial small subunit ribosomal RNA", at positions 15 to 217 of the family's 1533-position model. The record is from RNAcentral.
GAUCCUGGCUCAUGACGAACGCUGGCGGCGUGCUUAACACAUGCAAGUCGAACGAGAAUCUACAGAUCGAGGAUUCGUCCAAUAGAAGUAGAGGACAGUGGCGGACGGGUGAGUAACGCGUGAGGAACCUGCCUUUCAGAGGGGGACAACAGUUGGAAACGACUGCUAAUACCGCAUGACACAUUGGGGUCGCAUGGCCUUGAUGUCAAAGAUUUAUCG